RNAcentral lists this ribosomal RNA (392 nucleotides) under uncultured bacterium. Its description in RNAcentral is "partial 16S ribosomal RNA". It matches the Rfam family "Bacterial small subunit ribosomal RNA", at positions 523 to 918 of the family's 1533-position model. The record is from RNAcentral.
AUACGGAGGAUCCGAGCGUUAUCCGGAUUUAUUGGGUUUAAAGGGUGCGCAGGCGGCCAUUUAAGUCAGCGGUUAAAUCGUGGGGCUCAACCCCAUUCUGCCGUUGAUACUGGGUGGCUUGAUUGCGGUCGAGGUUGGCGGAAUUCGUUGUGUAGCGGUGAAAUGCAUAGAUAUGACGAAGAACACCGAUUGCGUAGGCAGCUGACCAGACCGCAAAUGACGCUCAUGCACGAAAGUGCGGGGAUCGAACAGGAUUAGAUACCCUUGUAGUCCGCACAGUAAACGAUGCAUACUUGUUUUCGUCGAUAUAAUGUCGGAGGCAAAGCGAAAGCGAUAAGUAUUCCACCUGGGGAGUACGCCGGCAACGGUGAACCUCAAAUGAAUUGACGGGG